GUCGAGAAUCUUUCACAAUGGGGGCAACCCUGAUGGAGCGACGCCGCGUGGAGGAUAAGGUCUUCGGAUUGUAAACUCCUGUCAUGCGUGAACAAGGUUGCUUGGUUAAUACCUGGGCAAAUUGAUGGUAACGCAAGAGGAAGAGACGGCUAACUCUGUGCCAGCAGCCGCGGUAAUACAGAGGUCUCAAGCGUUGUUCGGAAUCACUGGGCGUAAAGUGUGCGUAGGUGGCGUGGUAAGUCAGAUGUGAAAGCCCGGGGCUCAACCUCGGAACUGCAUCCGAUACUGCCAUGCUAGAGUACUGGAGAGGUGACUAGAAUUCUCGGUGUAGCAGUGAAAUGCGUAGAUAUCGAGAUGAAGACCAAAGGCGUAGGCAGGUCACUGGACAGUUACUGACACUGAGGCACGAAGGCCAGGGGAGCGAACGGGAUUAGAUACCCCGGUAGUCC
This 449-nucleotide ribosomal RNA is filed under the name uncultured bacterium. RNAcentral's name for it is "partial 16S ribosomal RNA". It matches the Rfam family "Bacterial small subunit ribosomal RNA", at positions 354 to 796 of the family's 1533-position model. The record is from RNAcentral.